This 485-nucleotide ribosomal RNA is filed under the name uncultured bacterium. RNAcentral's name for it is "bacterial SSU rRNA". It matches the Rfam family "Bacterial small subunit ribosomal RNA", at positions 31 to 507 of the family's 1533-position model. The record is from RNAcentral.
AUGGAACGCUAGCGGAGGCUUAACACAUGCAAGGUCGAGGGGCAGCAUAGGGUAGCAAUACUCUGAUGGCGACCGGCGGAUGGGUGCGUAACGCGUAUGCAACCUACCAUUGAUUGGGGCAUAGCCCGAAGAAAUUCGGAUUAAUACUCCAUAAUAUUCAUCAAAGGCAUCUUUUAUGAAUUAAAGCUUUUGCGAUCAAUGAUGGGCAUGCGUGACAUUAGUUAGUUGGUGAGGUAACGGCUCACCAAAACGAUGAUGUCUAGGGGUUCUGAGAGGAUUAUCCCCCACACUGGUACUGAGACACGGACCAGACUCCUACGGGAGGCAGCAGUGAGGAAUAUUGGUCAAUGGACGCAAGUCUGAACCAGCCAUGCCGCGUGCAGGAUGACGGCCCUAUGGGUUGUAAACUGCUUUUCCACGGGGCGAACCCUCCGACGUGUCGGAGACUGACGGUACCGUGGGAAUAAGCAUCGGCUAACUCCGUG